CUCGUAGGCGGCUUGUCGCGUCGACUGUGAAAUCCCGUGGCUCAACUGCGGGCUUGCAGCCGAUACGGGCAGGCUAGAGUUCGGUAGGGGAGACUGGAAUUCCUGGUGUAGCGGUGAAAUGCGCAGAUAUCAGGAGGAACACCGGUGGCGAAGGCGGGUCUCUGGGCCGAUACUGACGCUGAGGAGCGAAAGCGUGGGGGCGAACA
RNAcentral lists this ribosomal RNA (206 nucleotides) under uncultured bacterium. Its description in RNAcentral is "partial 16S ribosomal RNA". It matches the Rfam family "Bacterial small subunit ribosomal RNA", at positions 568 to 774 of the family's 1533-position model. The record is from RNAcentral.